RNAcentral lists this ribosomal RNA (490 nucleotides) under uncultured bacterium. RNAcentral describes it as "bacterial SSU rRNA". It matches the Rfam family "Bacterial small subunit ribosomal RNA", at positions 28 to 507 of the family's 1533-position model. The record is from RNAcentral.
GAUGAACGCUAGCGAUAGGCCUAACACAUGCAAGUCGAGGGGCAUCACAUGAAGUAGCAAUACGGAUGGUGGCGACCGGCGCACGGGUGAGUAACACGUAUGCAACCUGCCUUCAACAAGGGGAUAACCCGUUGAAAGACGGACUAAUACCCUAUAACACAGGGGUCCCGCAUGGGGAUAUUUGUUAAAGGACAACCGGUUGAAGAUGGGCAUGCGUUCCAUUAGCUAGUUGGCGGGGUAACGGCCCACCAAGGCAACGAUGGAUAGGGGAACUGAGAGGUUUAUCCCCCACACUGGUACUGAGACACGGACCAGACUCCUACGGGAGGCAGCAGUGAGGAAUAUUGGUCAAUGGACGCAAGUCUGAACCAGCCACGUCGCGUGAAGGAAGACGGCCCUACGGGUUGUAAACUUCUUUUAUACGGGAAUAAAGUGCCCCACGCGUGGGGUUUUGCAUGUACCGUAUGAAUAAGGAUCGGCUAACUCCGUG